RNAcentral lists this unclassified non-coding RNA (389 nucleotides) under Hevea brasiliensis (rubber tree). Lineage: Eukaryota; Viridiplantae; Streptophyta; Magnoliopsida; Malpighiales; Euphorbiaceae. The record is from RNAcentral.
AAGGUACCUAAACAUUUUUGGGCUAAUGCAGUAUCCACGACUUGUUUUCUAAUUAACCGUAUGCCAUCAUUUGUCCUUCACGGUGACAUUCAUUAUAAUGUGUUGCUUCCCUCUAAGUCUUUGUUUCCCAUUGAACCUCGUAUCUUUGAGUGCAGUUGUUUUAUUCGUGAUGUUCGUCCGUAAGUUACCAAAUUAGAUCCCAAGUCUUUCAAGUGUAUCUUUCAUAGGUACUCUCAUCUUCAAAAGGGGUAUUGGUGUUUUUCUCCUACUCUCAAUAAAUAUAUUGUCUACUGAUGCUAUAUUUUUUUAGUUUACCCCAUUUUUUUCUCAAUCAUUUGUGUAUGACAGUCAGGGGGAGGAGGAUAAUCUCUUAAUAUAUACUACGUCUA